CGACACCUACGGGGGGCAGCAGUGGGGAAUAUUGGGCAAUGGGCGCAAGCCUGACCCAGCAACGCCGCGUGAGGGAUGACGGCCCUACGGGUUGUAAACCUCUUUUGCCGGGGAGCAACGGGCGCCACGUGUGGCGCCACUGAGAGUACCCGGAGAAAAAGCAUCGGCUAACUCCGUGCCAGCAGCCGCGGUAAUACGGAGGAUGCGAGCGUUAUCCGGAUUUAUUGGGUUUAAAGGGUGCGUAGGCGGAUCGUUAAGUCAGUGGUCAAAUUGAGGGGCUCAACCCCUUCC
This 291-nucleotide ribosomal RNA is filed under the name uncultured bacterium. RNAcentral describes it as "partial 16S ribosomal RNA". It matches the Rfam family "Bacterial small subunit ribosomal RNA", at positions 333 to 620 of the family's 1533-position model. The record is from RNAcentral.